UGGGGAAUAUUGCACAAUGGACGCAAGUCUGAUGCAGCAAUGCCGCGUGUGUGAAGAAGGCCUUCGGGUUGUAAAGCACUUUCAGAUGUGAGGAAAAGCAGUCUAUUAAUACUAGACUGCCGUGACGUUAACAUCAGAAGAAGGACCGGCUAACUCCGUGCCAGCAGCCGCGGUAAUACGGAGGGUCCGAGCGUUAAUCGGAAUUACUGGGCGUAAAGCGCGCGUAGGCGGAUAAUUAAGUCAGAUGUGAAAGCCCUGGGCUCAACCUAGGAACGGCAUUUGAUACUGGUUAUCUAGAGUAUGGUAGAGGUGAGUGGAAUUUCAGGUGUAGCGGUGAAAUGCGUAGAGAUCUGAAGGAACAUCAGUGGCGAAGGCGACUCACUGGGCCAUUACUGACGCUGAGGUGCGAAAGCGUGGGUAGCAAACAGG
Molecule: ribosomal RNA, 429 nt
Filed under: uncultured prokaryote
Also listed under: 1 other name
Description: bacterial SSU rRNA
Rfam family: Bacterial small subunit ribosomal RNA
Source: RNAcentral